AGAGAGAGAGAGAGAGAGAGUUUACAAAUAGCAAACCAUGGGAUCCAUUUACAGGAAAGACAUAAAAAGCAAUUUAACCAUGGGAAACAUCAGGGAAGUCAGGCCACUAAAUUUUUAGCUUUAGUCUAGCAUAGUGAUGAUUUAUAUUUCUGUUAUUACUUGCUAUUUAGUUUAGCUUAAUGGUUAUUUUCUUUUUUUGUGUAAUUGGCUCCGACUAGGACUCGAACCCAACCUCGCAGCCAUAGAGACGACUAAAGUAUCACUAAGCAGCUUAAUUGCUAUUUUCAGUUUAUGCAUUUGUUAUUAUCCUAGGAAAUAAAGAUUCAAGGACAACUAUAGAAUACUCUCUAUCAUUGGCCAUAAAGGAAGAAAAACAAUAUAGAAUAAGUCAACAGAAAAUCCAUAUUUGUAUUUCCUAGUGAACUGACCUGCGACCCAAUCCCAAACCCAGGCCAGUAACAAUAUGAUUUCGGUUCUCACUUAAAAGCUUAUCUCACUGAGUCACUUUUCCCUUACCAUUACAGUUUCCAAAUAAAAGCCAAAAGAUCAAGAGCAGCUCAUACCACUGCACAUGCACUUUGAUCAUAUAUGAACUCUAA
Molecule: unclassified non-coding RNA, 599 nt
Filed under: Hevea brasiliensis (rubber tree)
Lineage: Eukaryota; Viridiplantae; Streptophyta; Magnoliopsida; Malpighiales; Euphorbiaceae
Source: RNAcentral